UGGGGAAUUUUCCGGAAUGGGCGAAAGCCUGACGGAGCAAUACCGCGUGAGGGAGGAAGGCUUUUGGGUUGUAAACCUCUUUUAUUAAGGAAGAAGAAAGUGACGGUACUUAAAGAAUCAGCAUCGGCUAACCCCGGGCGUGCGGUGGAUACUGCUGGGCUAGAGGAUGGUAGAGGCGAGUGGAAUUCCCGGUGUAGCGGUGAAAUGCGCAGAGAUCGGGAGGAACACCAGUAGCGAAGGCGGCUCGCUGGGCCAUUCCUGACGCUGAGACGCGAAAGCUAGGGGAGCGAACAGGAUUAGAUACCCCUGUAGUCC
Molecule: ribosomal RNA, 315 nt
Filed under: uncultured prokaryote
Description: bacterial SSU rRNA
Rfam family: Bacterial small subunit ribosomal RNA
Source: RNAcentral